AGAGUUUGAUCAUGGCUCAGGACGAACGCUGGCGGCGUGCUUAACACAUGCAAGUCGAGCGGCAGCGCGGUGUAGCAAUACACUGGCGGCGAGCGGCGGACGGGUGAGGAAUGCGUCGGAAUCUGCCUCUUUGUGGGGGAUAACGUAGGGAAACUUACGCUAAUACCGCAUACGACCUACGGGUGAAAGUGGGGGACCUUCGGGCCUCACGCAGAGAGAUGAGCCGACGCCGGAUUAGCUAGUUGGCGGGGUAAAGGCCCACCAAGGCGACGAUCCGUAGCUGGUCUGAGAGGAUGAUCAGCCACACUGGAACUGAGACACGGUCCAGACUCCUACGGGAGGCAGCAGUGGGGAAUAUUGGACAAUGGGCGCAAGCCUGAUCCAGCCAUGCCGCGUGUGUGAAGAGGGCCUUCGGGUUGUAAAGCACUUUUGUCCGGAAAGAAAUCCUUCGAAUUAAUACUUCGGAGGGAUGACGGUACCGGAAGAAUAAGCACCGGCUAACUUCGUGCCAGCAGCCGCGGUAAUUC
RNAcentral lists this ribosomal RNA (527 nucleotides) under uncultured bacterium. Its description in RNAcentral is "bacterial SSU rRNA". It matches the Rfam family "Bacterial small subunit ribosomal RNA", at positions 8 to 526 of the family's 1533-position model. The record is from RNAcentral.